Rhincodon typus (whale shark) is the source of this 1032-nucleotide long non-coding RNA. RefSeq lists it as uncharacterized. The transcript is spliced from 3 exons. The record is from RefSeq and is a predicted model, not a curated record. NCBI's taxonomy places the organism in Eukaryota, Metazoa, Chordata, Chondrichthyes, Orectolobiformes, Rhincodontidae.
AUGCAUCAUUCCAUGUCAUCAUGCAGGGAUGUAUAAUCACUUGGUUUAGUUUGAAGUAAAUCCUGACUCCUGAUCAGCAAUGAGAUGGACAGCUAAGAGAAGGAUAUUUUAAGCACUCAUCAGAGCGGCAAAAAACAAAGAAACGGAAUUAAAUUGUACAUUUCCAAAACCGCAAUGGCAGCUACACUUCAGCUAAGGACUACCAGUGCCAACAUAAUAGAAGACAAACGUCAGAAUAGUAUCACUAUUAACCACCUAACCAGUUGCUUUGACAAAUCCCCAAAAAUAUUGCCGCCAUUGCUGAAAAAAAUCCUACCCUCUCACAGUUCUUUUCUCCUAAACAGACAUAUAAAAGUAUUCUACAGUUUUAUGAUGUCAUGGAUGUGCAAGAAUGGACAUUUUCAACAUGUUUCCAUUAAAGACAUAAAGAAAAUAUGACUACAGGUGCUGAUCCCUUUCAGAAUACCACACACAAGAAAGAAAGUAUGAGCAGACCUCCUGUAAAUACUGUGUGAUUCAGAAGGCUGCAGUAAUAAAACGCAGGAUUGCAAGAACAGCAGCACAGGUGUCGCUGUCUCAUAUUACAUUCUCCUUGAAAUUGUAGAAAACCUAGACAUCCAAUCCAAUCAUCAGCUGGUGGAGCAUGUCCCUACUCCACUAUGCAGCUGUCUGAGGCUAUCAUAAGAGAAUCAGGAACUGCAGUAGUGCGGUGAAGGUGGACUGAUUAAUAUCUAACAAGAUAGAAAACCUGUGGUGUGGAAUCACACAACCAUUGGGCCACACAGAUGAACGGAGCCCACAUAAAAAUAAUGUAGACAAAGGGUUGAGGUUUUAAAUGUUUGUAACAGUUUCACACAGUUAAUUAAUUUUAACAUGAUUCAUGUUGUAUUGUGUGUCUCUAAACAAGAUAAAGAAUCUUUGUAAAACUUUGUGGAAAUGAUUUUUAUUGAACAAGGUUGGCCCAAAGUCUGCCUAUUUGGAUAUUAAAGAUUUCAUUGCAUUACUCAAAGAUAGGUAUUAAGUUCUCUUAAU